AGGACGAACGCUGGCGGCGCGCCUAAUACAUGCAAGUCGAGCGAGAACCGGGGCUUCGGCCCCCGGGGAGAGCGGCGAACGGGUGCGUAUCACGUGAGCAACCUGCCUCGGAGACCGGAAUAACUCGAGGAAACUCGGGCUAAUGCCGGAUGCCCUCGGUGGACCGCAUGGGUCCGGCGAGGAAAUGGAUUCCGCUCCGAGAUGGGCUCGCGGCCUAUCAGCUUGUGGUGGGUAACGCCUACAGGCAACGACGGUAGCUGGUCUGAGAGGACGAUCAGCCACACUGGACUGACGACACGGCCCAGACUCCGUACGGGAGGCCAGCAGUACGGGAAUC
RNAcentral lists this ribosomal RNA (337 nucleotides) under uncultured soil bacterium. RNAcentral's name for it is "bacterial SSU rRNA". It matches the Rfam family "Bacterial small subunit ribosomal RNA", at positions 26 to 364 of the family's 1533-position model. The record is from RNAcentral.